GGAAAGGCUUUGGAUCAGUGGUAGAACAUUUGCCUUGCUUGCAGAAGGUCCCAGGUUUAAUCCCCAGUAUCUCCA
Molecule: non-coding RNA, 75 nt
Organism: Podarcis lilfordi (Lilford's wall lizard)
Lineage: Eukaryota; Metazoa; Chordata; Lepidosauria; Squamata; Lacertidae
Source: the annotation of a GenBank genome assembly